RNAcentral lists this ribosomal RNA (293 nucleotides) under uncultured bacterium. RNAcentral describes it as "partial 16S ribosomal RNA". It matches the Rfam family "Bacterial small subunit ribosomal RNA", at positions 333 to 622 of the family's 1533-position model. The record is from RNAcentral.
UUUUGCCUACGGGACGCAGCAGUGAGGAAUAUUGGUCAAUGGGCGGGAGCCUGAACCAGCCAAGUCGCGUGAGGGAAGACGGUCCUACGGAUUGUAAACCUCUUUUGCCGGGGAGCAACGGGGUCCUUGCGAGGUCCCAAUGAGAGUACCCGGAGAAAAAGCAUCGGCUAACUCCGUGCCAGCAGCCGCGGUAAUACGGAGGAUGCGAGCGUUAUCCGGAUUUAUUGGGUUUAAAGGGUGCGUAGGCGGGCUGUUAAGUCAGCGGUCAAAUGUCGGGGCUCAACCCCGGCCUG